RNAcentral lists this long non-coding RNA (1359 nucleotides) under Nicotiana tabacum (common tobacco). RNAcentral's name for it is "long non-coding RNA (NTAB_LNC015265)". Lineage: Eukaryota; Viridiplantae; Streptophyta; Magnoliopsida; Solanales; Solanaceae. The record is from RNAcentral.
AGAACUAAAGAAAAACUGCUCCUAAAAAGUAAAAUAUUCUAUUUAUACUACAUAGGAAAAACCAAACAAAAAUACCCCUGAGGGUCUGGCGCGGACCGCGCACAAAUGACGCGCGGGCGCGGAGGAUUUUGGGUCUUUAUAUCUUGCUUCUGGCACUGGGGACGCAGACCGCACAAAAGUGACGCGCGGCCGCGUGAACUUCAUCCACGCGGACUGCACUGAUUAGGUGUGCGGCCGCGUGGUCUUUUGCCUUAAAUGAUUGAGUCUCUGACACUCUUAGGCGCGGACCGUAUGAAAAGGGGCCCGGACCACACGGAAAGGGGCGCGGACCGCGUGAAAAGGAGCGCGGACCGUGCAGCUUGACUUAAAAAUGGCAUGGCCUCUGAACUUUCCUGUGCGGCCACGUGGCAAAACAGUGCGGACCGCGCAGGUUGACCUUGAAAAUGCCCAGCCUCUGAACUCUCCUGUGCGGCCGCGUGACAAAACAGUGUAGACCGCACAAGUCAUUUUGUUCCCCCUUUUUGUUGUCUUUUGACACUUGGCAGAUUUCACUCCUUUUUGAGCCGAUCUUUAGUAUUUAUCAUCUUGUCGCUCAAACCUGCAAUCAAGCACAACUUGUAAGCAUUUUGGGACUAAUUUAUGGCAGUUAAUGCACAAAGCUUAGGUAAGAAUGGGUAUAAAACAUGUAGAAAUCAUAGUUAUCAGUAGGCUCGGUAUAUAUAACUGCUCUGCCGUAGUAGGCUCGCUCAUAGGCGCUCGACCAUACUAGGCUCUGUAUCUCGACCAACUGGGCUUGCUCCUAAGUGCUCGACCACAGUAGGCUCGGUAUAUAUAUAACUUACCAUCUGAUCAGAGGUUGCCCAAUAGGGGCCUGCCCAUCGAUUAUAGCUCGAUGGUAAUGAAAAUACUUUUAAUACUAUAUAUAUGUAAACUCUCUACUCUCUUGACUGGGAGAAUGAAAUACUCAAUUGAAUAUAAAGUCCCGAUAAGAAGAAUAUCGUAACAUACAAAAAUAGAAAAAUAUACGCAAUUUGCGAGACUAGCAAAAUAUACGUAAAUUUCGGGAUAUGAAUUUUUAUUUAUGCCUCGUUAUCAAACUUGUGUAAUGAUAGAUCAUGCCAAAAUGAAAGAAGAGCUUAGACUUAGCAUACCUAUUUCUUGAAUUAUUUGAACGAAUCUGCUUCUGCGAAAUAUGAACGAAACUACACUUGGGUUUCCUGAAAUUGAACGAACUUGCUUUCUGCUUCUAAAAUUUGUGAAUUAAGGAAUGGUUUUAAGCUACACUUGUUUCCAACGUUUUUUAAGUUGGUUGAAGCUUCUGUUUCUUUCAGAAUGCAUAUUGAAUUGUAAUCUCUUCAA